GUGAGUGGUCAGAACAGGGAUGUUUUCCCUGGAGAAUCUUUAAUGUCACAGUUGGCAGUAUUACAGGGAUGACGAAUAUACGAAGAUAAUUCUCAAAUUAUUUGAAAUAAAACUUGAUGCCAGCUUCUUUUGGUUCUUUCGGUUUCUGUCGUUGCCUUAGCCACUAAGUGGUGUGGGUUAAAACAAAAGCCAUAAUUAAAUUGAACCCAGUUUAAGGGGAAAAAUUGGGCAACUCUGCUUAACCAGAAGCAGGUGGUGCUGGAAUGCUCCAUGGAAGUGAGCCGUGAGAAGGGAAUGCAGAUUUUUUUAAUUGAAAACAGUUAAAAAUACUUGUGGUCUUUUGUGCCAGGCCGUGAUUAAGACAUAUGCAUAUACGUAUCUUAAUCACACACAUAUAUAUAUAUAUAUAUAUAUUUCAGUUUCAGAAAAACUGUGGUGGAAAUGCAGCAUAGUUUUAAUUAGAGGGGGCUUCGCAGCAAGGGAAGGAACUAAUCUGUGGCGUAAAGCAGCGCACGUCUUGUGCAGCGAGUGUUCCCCUGGGAAGCAGGAUGGAUGGAGCGUUCGUCUGUCUCCCCAUUGGCCGCCUGGGAUGGGAGAGCUGAUCUGGUGACAAGCAGGUGUUCUUCUAAGAGGGAGACGGGAGGAUCAGACAGAGAGAAGGAGAUGUGACCACGGAAGAAGAGGAUGGAGCCAUGUUGGGCCACAAGCCAAGGAAUACAGGAAGCUUCUAGAAGCUGGAAAAGGCAAGGAAAUGGAUUAUCCACUAGAGCCUCCAGAAGGAAUGCCGGCCCACCGACACCUUGAUCUUAGCCCAGGAAAACUGAUUUGGGACGUCUGACCUCCAAAACUAGGCUGGGCUAGCCUUACUACACAUGGAGGAGGUCGGGUGGCACUCAGGAUGCUGAAAGAACAAGAAAUAUGGCACUAAAACUAGAAGUGGAUUAUGCUACUUAACGGCUGAAAACUGAGGACUGGAAACUUGUAUCUCUACCUUCGAUCUGUGUUGUCAAGCAUUGAUCACUUGAAAUGCGGCUAGUGCAGCUGAAGACUGGAUUUUCAAUUCUGUUUAUUUUAUGAAAUUUAAGCUUAAAUCUUAAAAUGAUACACACUUGACUUAUUGGGAAGCUUUUAAGUAUUUUAGAACAACUUGGCCACAUGAAUCUACUUUUUCAAUU
This 1175-nucleotide long non-coding RNA is filed under the name Equus caballus (horse). RNAcentral describes it as "lncRNA (ENSECAG00000037540.3)". Lineage: Eukaryota; Metazoa; Chordata; Mammalia; Perissodactyla; Equidae. The record is from RNAcentral.